GACGAACGCUGGCGGCGUGCUUAACACAUGCAAGUCGAACGGUAAGGCCCUUCGGGUACACGAGUGGCGAACGGGUGAGUAACACGUGGGUGAUCUGCCCUGCACUUCGGGAUAAGCCUGGGAAACUGGGUCUAAUACCGGAUAGGACCAUGGACUUCACGGUUUGUGGUGGAAAGCUUUUGCGGUGUGGGAUGGGCCCGCGGCCUAUCAGCUUGUUGGUGGGGUAAUGGCCUACCCAAGGCGACGACGGGUAGCCGGCCUGAGAGGGUGUCCGGCCACACUGGGACUGAGAUACGGCCCAGACUCCUACGGGAGGCAGCAGUGGGGAAUAUUGCACAAUGGGCGCAAGCCUGAUGCAGCGACGCCGCGUGAGGGAUGACGGCCUUCGGGUG
Molecule: ribosomal RNA, 392 nt
Filed under: uncultured bacterium
Lineage: Bacteria
Description: bacterial SSU rRNA
Rfam family: Bacterial small subunit ribosomal RNA
Source: RNAcentral